CCGUUGAGGGGAUCCGCCGGGGUGCUUCACCUGGCAGGCAAGAAAUCACGGUAGAAGUCCGGCGAUGGGGAUUCAGCCUGAGCGAGCGCCGCACGUCACGGCGGGAGGGGCCACGAGCGCUGAAUCGAGGUAAGAUCAACACGAGAUGCUUUGCAUUUUAUUAGAGAUCAACACAUGUGUAUUAAAUGCAACAUAUACUGUCUAGUAAAACAUAUCUUCAAAAAGCUACUCCCUCCGUCCCAAAAAGAGUGUCGUUUUAGGUUUUUGUGCCAUAAGUUUAACUCGAUUUGUAGAAAAUAUAUGCAAUAUUUAUAUCUCUAAAUAAAUUUAUUAAAAAACUAGACUUAAAGAUCUUUCCAAUGAUAUUAAUUAUGUACUAUAAAUACUAAUAUUUUUUUACUAUAUAUUUAGUUAAAGUUAUUUCUCGAGAAGCGAAAACGACACUUAUUUUGGGACGGAGGGAGUACAUAUAUAUAAAAGCAACAUUCGUUUGUCUAGUGAAACAUAUCUUCAAAAAGCUACAUUUUGUUAGAGAUAAACGCAUGUGUAUUAACUGCAACAUAUUUUGAAAAUCAAUAUAUUUGUGGAUACCGCAACAUAUAUCUAAAAGCAACAUUCGUUUUUCGUACAUGCUACAUUUGGGUUUCGUACAGGCUACAUAUGUUUAUUAAAGUGAACAUAUAGUUAAAGUGAACGUAUUGUAAAAACAACAUGGGUUGUAAAGUGAAACACAUCUUCUAAAUGCUACAUUUGGUUAGAGAUCAACACAUAUGUAUUAACUGCAACAUAUAGUGAAAAUCAACAUAUAUUAUACCGCAAAAUAUAGAUAUCUGUGUAUACCGCAAUAUGUAAUUAAAAGCAACAUAUAUCUAAAAUCAACAUCUUUGUAUAUACCGCAACAUGUAACUAAAAGGAACAUAUAUCAAAAAUCAACAUAUUUGUGUAUACCGCAAUAUGUAACUAAAAGGAACAUUCGUUUGUAUAGUGAAACAUUUCUUCAAAAGCUACAUUUUCAUAGAGAUCAACACAUGUGUACUAACUGCAACAUAUAAUGAAAAUCAACAUAUUUAUGUAUACCACAUAUCUAAAAGCUUGAACAUAUUUGUAUAUUACAACAUUUAAAUAACAACAACAUAAAUUGCUGAGCCAAAACGGACAAGCACUGUGCCAGCCAAAACGGACAAGCACUGUACCAGCCAGAACGGACUAUCGGUGUUGCCUUUAGAAAUCUGUUGAUUUAAUCAUAAGUAUGAAACAGUAAUCUUACUUUCUUACUUUUUAUUUGUGGGAGAGGGAGAUCAAACCGAGAAGCUUCACAUGCCUUGUCUGAAGAAUCCAUCGAUCUAAUCACCCCAUUACGAUCUCUUUUGUUUUAUUUCAUCAAGCUGAGACGUUUCACAUGCCUUGUCGGGAGAAACCGCUGUUGGCGCAAGUGGCCCAAAUUAGCCUGCUGGUGCUGGAUGGCCCGACUCUUCGUAGAAACCCUAGCUGUCCACGGAGCGUGAGCAAGCGCCGCACGGCACGACACGCCACCACCAGCGCCACCGCGGGCCCUCUCCCCGGCGCACCCGCGUGACUUUGUCGCGCGUGGCUGCGUCGAGGGGAUCUGCCGGGGUGUUUCAC
RNAcentral lists this long non-coding RNA (1623 nucleotides) under Sorghum bicolor (sorghum). RNAcentral describes it as "long non-coding RNA (SBIC_LNC015416)". Lineage: Eukaryota; Viridiplantae; Streptophyta; Magnoliopsida; Poales; Poaceae. The record is from RNAcentral.